Molecule: non-coding RNA, 26 nt
Filed under: Homo sapiens (human)
Lineage: Eukaryota; Metazoa; Chordata; Mammalia; Primates; Hominidae
Source: RNAcentral
CUCCAUGUACCUCAGCUUGGUGGUCC